GAAUGCAGUAUUGCAGGCUGAUUCUGCCCACUGCCAGGAGUUCGAUCUUGACCAGCUCAAAGUUGACUCAGCUUUCUGUCCUUCCGAGGCACCGUUUUCAUCACAGUUGCUGCUUCUUCUCGUUUCAUCCUCAGGAGGACCAACACUUGGGAGGGAGAUAGCAAGACCAAGAACGGGCUGGACUUUGCCAACCGUUGUGCAUUCAUAUCUCAGCCUGGGAGAAGUGGAGUCUGUCCUCCUGUCAUUAUAUUCAGAAGAUUUAUUUCCAGAAAAAAGAGCCAUCCAGAGAGACAGGCUGUCUGGCCCACGCUUGGCAACCCUUAUAACCGACAAGAUCUCUGGCGCUCUAGCCUGAUUUCCCCA
Pantherophis guttatus is the source of this 363-nucleotide long non-coding RNA. RefSeq lists it as uncharacterized. The record is from RefSeq and is a predicted model, not a curated record. Lineage: Eukaryota; Metazoa; Chordata; Lepidosauria; Squamata; Colubridae.